RNAcentral lists this ribosomal RNA (476 nucleotides) under uncultured bacterium. Its description in RNAcentral is "bacterial SSU rRNA". It matches the Rfam family "Bacterial small subunit ribosomal RNA", at positions 52 to 518 of the family's 1533-position model. The record is from RNAcentral.
CACAUGCAAGUCGAGGGCGAUCAGGAGACUAGCUUGCUAGUUCGCUGGCGACCGGCGCACGGGUGCGUAACACGUAUCCAACCUACCCAUGGCUCAGGGAUAGCCUUUCGAAAGAAAGAUUAAUACCUGAUGGUUCCUUCACCCGCAUGGGUGUAUGAAUAAAGAUUCAUCGGCGAUGGAUGGGGAUGCGUCCGAUUAGCUUGUUGGCGGGGUAACGGCCCACCAAGGCGACGAUCGGUAGGGGCUCUGAGAGGAGGAUCCCCCACACUGGAACUGAGACACGGUCCAGACUCCUACGGGAGGCAGCAGUGAGGAAUAUUGGUCAAUGGGCGAAGGCCUGAACCAGCCCAAGUAGCGUGAGGGACGACUGCCCUAUGGGUUGUAAACCUCUUUUGUUUGGGAAUAAAGGACCCCACGUGUGGGGUUUUGCAUGUACCUUACGAAUAAGCAUCGGCUAAUUCCGUGCCAGCCGCGGC